CAUUGAACCGCAGGCUUCACCCCUUGUGGUGCUCCCCCGCCAAUUCCUUUAGUUCAUACUUGCGUACGUACUUCCCAGGCGGCAGACUUAACGGCUUCCCUGCGGCACUGCAUUGGCCACAAGCCAAUGCAUCACCGAGUCUGCAUCGUUUACAGCUGGGACUACCCGGGUAUCUAAUCCGGUUUGCUCCCCCAGCUUUCAUCCCUCACCGUCGAACGUGUUCUGGUACACCGCCUUCUUCCCGNCCACCAANGCGCCUGGUCUUCAAUAGAUCAAAGGAUUUUACCCCUUCCCCNUUUAAUCGAGUACCGUGUACCUCUCCCACUCCCUAGCUGCACAGUAUUUUCGGCGGCCUAUACGUUAAGCGCAUAGAUUUAACCGAAAACUUAUGCCAAAAAAAAAACCCCCCGGGGGGCCCUUAAACGGAUGCUUUAGGCCCAAUAACACCUCCUGACCACUCGACGGUGCUGGUUUUACCUGGC
Molecule: ribosomal RNA, 482 nt
Filed under: uncultured archaeon
Lineage: Archaea
Description: partial 16S ribosomal RNA
Source: RNAcentral